GACGAACGCUGGCGGCGUGCUUAACACAUGCAAGUCGAACGGAAAGGCCCUGCUUUGGUGGGGUGCUCGAGUGGCGAACGGGUGAGUAACACGUGAGUAACCUGCCCUUGACUUUGGGAUAACUUCAGGAAACUGGGGCUAAUACCGGAUAGGAGCUCCUGCUGCAGGGUGGGGGUUGGAAAGUUUCGGCGGUUGGGGAUGGACUCGCGGCUUAUCAGCUUGUUGGUGGGGUAGUGGCUUACCAAGGCUUUGACGGGUAGCCGGCCUGAGAGGGUGACCGGCCACAUUGGGACUGAGAUACGGCCCAGACUCCUCCGGGAGGCAGCAGUGGGGAAUAUUGCACAAUGGGCGGAAGCCUGAUGCAGCAACGCCGCGUGCGGGAUGACGGCCUUCGGGUUGUAAACCGCUUUCGCCUGUGACGAAGCGUGAGUGACGGUAAUGGGUAAAGAAGCACCGGCUAACUACGUG
Molecule: ribosomal RNA, 468 nt
Filed under: uncultured bacterium
Lineage: Bacteria
Description: partial 16S ribosomal RNA
Rfam family: Bacterial small subunit ribosomal RNA
Source: RNAcentral